AGAAAGGCCACUUGGGCUACCUGAAGUGAAAGCGGGUGUGUGUGGCUGGGUAGAGAGCAAACUCACAGGAAAUGAAGACUGGUCAGACCUCAGAUGGUCACAUCUUUAGAUCCUGAAGCAAGAGCUGCAGCCCAUCUCAGGAGUCCAAAUGCAGCAACAGAUUUUGCCUCUAAGCAAGUAAGAUACACCAUAAAAACAAGCAACUUUCCUUACCAGCCCAUCUCUCAUUUGAAUUUUUGAUGCCUCAGUGGUCAGUUUGAGAUGAUAACUGGUAAUAAGAAAGUCUCUGUAUUGGAAGGAGGAACACAUACACCAUUUCCCCCAGGGCCUCCUUAUUUUGC
This 341-nucleotide long non-coding RNA is filed under the name Bos taurus (domestic cattle). Its description in RNAcentral is "long non-coding RNA NONBTAT022145". Lineage: Eukaryota; Metazoa; Chordata; Mammalia; Artiodactyla; Bovidae. The record is from RNAcentral.